GGGGAGAUAAAACAGUCCUGUACGCAGCUGUUGUGAUCCCAGCCGGUUGUGGAGUUUUAUUUCUCAUCUGCAUCAUCAUGUUCAUGUUCAUAAGGAAGAGAAAAAGUGGAUAUGACAUCAGGCAGAAGCAGGUUCAACAUCCUCCCAGCUCUGAGACAAACUACUCUGAUGAUGGUCUGUAUGCCAG
Long non-coding RNA from Carassius auratus (goldfish), 187 nucleotides. RefSeq lists it as uncharacterized. The transcript is spliced from 3 exons. NCBI's taxonomy places the organism in Eukaryota, Metazoa, Chordata, Actinopteri, Cypriniformes, Cyprinidae. The record is from RefSeq and is a predicted model, not a curated record.